GAUGAACGCUGGCGGCGUGCCUAAUACAUGCAAGUCGAGCGAACAGACGAGGAGCUUGCUCCUCUGACGUUAGCGGCGGACGGGUGAGUAACACGGGGAUAACCUACCUAUAAGACUGGGAUAACUGCGGGAAACCGGAGCUAAUACCGGAUAAUAUAUUGAACCGCAUGGUUCAAUAGUGAAAGACGGUUUUGCUGUCACUUACAGAUGGAUCCGCGCCGCAUUAGGUAGUUGGUAAGGUAACGGCUUACCAAGGCAACGAUGCGUAGCCGACCGGAGAGGGUGAUCGGCCACACUGGAACUGAGACACGGUCCAGACUCCUACGGGAGGCAGCAGUAGGGAAUCUUCCGCAAUGGGCGAAAGCCUGACGGAGCAACGCGGCGUGAGUGAUGAAGGUCUUCGGAUCGUAAAACUCUGUUAUUAGGGAAGAACAAAUGUGUAAGUAACUAUGCACGUCUUGACGGUACCUAAUCAGAAAGCCACGGCUAACUACGUG
This 497-nucleotide ribosomal RNA is filed under the name uncultured bacterium. RNAcentral's name for it is "partial 16S ribosomal RNA". It matches the Rfam family "Bacterial small subunit ribosomal RNA", at positions 28 to 507 of the family's 1533-position model. The record is from RNAcentral.